GACGAACGCUGGCGGCGUGCUUAAUACAUGCAAGUCGAGCGAACAGACGAGGAGCUUGUUGGUCUGACGUUAGGGGCGGACGGGUGAGUAACAAGUGGAUAAUAUACUUAUACGACUGGGAUAACUUCGGGAAACCGGAGCUAAUACCGGAUAAUAUAUUGAAUCGGACGGUUCAAUAGUGAAGGACGGUUUUGGUUUCACUUAUAGAUGGAUUCGCGCCGUAUUAGCUAGUUGGUAAGGUAACGGCUUACCAAGGCAACGAUGCGUAGCCGACCUGAGAGGGUGAUCGGCCGCACUGGAGCUGAGACACGGUCCAGACGCCUACGAGAGGCAGCAGUAGGGAAUCUUACGCAAUGGGCGAAAGCCUGACGGAGCAACGCCGCGUGAGUGAUGAAGGUCUUCGGAUCGUAAAGCUCUGUUAUUAGGGAAGAACAAAUGUGUAAGUGACUGUGCACGUCUUGACGGUACCUAGUCAAGAAGCCACGGCUAACUACGUG
RNAcentral lists this ribosomal RNA (497 nucleotides) under uncultured bacterium. Its description in RNAcentral is "partial 16S ribosomal RNA". It matches the Rfam family "Bacterial small subunit ribosomal RNA", at positions 28 to 507 of the family's 1533-position model. The record is from RNAcentral.